RNAcentral lists this transfer RNA (118 nucleotides) under Nemania serpens. RNAcentral's name for it is "tRNA-Glu". The record is from RNAcentral. Lineage: Eukaryota; Fungi; Ascomycota; Sordariomycetes; Xylariales; Xylariaceae.
UCCGAAUUGGUGUAGUGGCUAACAUUUGACGCUCUCAUCACAUCGUACACCAUAUCUUGUGGUGUUACCGAUGCAGUGAAGUGCCGUCAAGCCCGGGGUUCGAUUCCCCGAUUCGGAG